Long non-coding RNA from Vigna angularis (adzuki bean), 262 nucleotides. RefSeq lists it as uncharacterized. The transcript is spliced from 3 exons. The record is from RefSeq and is a predicted model, not a curated record. NCBI's taxonomy places the organism in Eukaryota, Viridiplantae, Streptophyta, Magnoliopsida, Fabales, Fabaceae.
CAAGGCCAUUGAUCAUCCUGAAAUAGGUGUACACUUAAAAGUUGGAAGUGUGAUAAUCCUACAAGAUGUUUCAAUUUUUUCACCAAUACGUGAAACAUACUAUCUUAACAUAACUCUGAGGAAUAUUGUCAAGGUUUUUGGAAGUGAUAUUGGGGGCCCAACUGAUGACCUACUACGUCUAUCAAUACCAAUUGAUACCAACAAGCCUCCAACACGCUCCGUUGAUGACAUUCUAUCGAAAUUGAUUCCACCUCUUCACAAA